CCGCCUACAAUGAAAUUUGCGAAGUUUUUUCGGUUUCGGCGCCAUUUUCGAGUGGACUCGGAGGAGUCGGCAUUCCAGAUCUGUCCUUUGUUGUUUAAAACUGGAUGAGAUGACAAUGCAAAAAAAAAUGGAAGUAACAAGAAGCAUCAUACUUUUCCUCUUCUCAGCAGUGUUGAUCAAAAACUGUGGAUCCUGGAGUGUCACUGUGGAUUUUACUGAUUUUCUGGAGUACUUUCCCAUUGAAGCAGUGAUUGCCUUGUGCCCAGGGAGAGUCUGGGCAGGAGGAGCCAAUGCAUUCAGAGGUGAGUUGGGAAGGUAAGCUCAUGUGUCCCACCUGCUCUGACAUACCUGCACUAUCUGCAUCCCUCUGCAUAAAGGCAGGUUCCUCUGAUGUGCAUAUCCCUUCCUGGGCACUGCAGGUGACAACCUCAGAAAGGUUGACAUAAACUGUAAUUAUCCUAUUCAGGGGCCAUCUAUCUGAUUUGACACUGAGAAUCCAAAGCAUAAGCUAAGUUUGAGAGAAGCUGAAGUGUGAGGUGGGAUGAUUCAAACACUGUGCUUUCUGUUGCUUAAAGUAAUUAUGUUGUCAUGUCAGAAACACACGUUUGCUCAAGUAUGUAUUUCACUGCCUAUCCCAAAUUUCCACUUGACCAGUAAGUACUCAGUACUUCUCUCUGCUAGAGAGUGGGCUGGAGGAGGUGCACUGAGCCCUCACUGUGGAAAGUCCUCACUAAAGAGACCUCUUGCCCCCUUGUCAGACUAGGCUAAGGUCUAAUUUAUAUAUGGAUAUAAAAACAUGAAACAUGAACCUCAAUCAAAAUGGAUUCUAGAGCCGA
Calypte anna (Anna's hummingbird) is the source of this 836-nucleotide long non-coding RNA. RefSeq lists it as uncharacterized. The record is from RefSeq and is a predicted model, not a curated record. The transcript is spliced from 3 exons. Lineage: Eukaryota; Metazoa; Chordata; Aves; Apodiformes; Trochilidae.